RNAcentral lists this ribosomal RNA (483 nucleotides) under uncultured bacterium. Its description in RNAcentral is "partial 16S ribosomal RNA". It matches the Rfam family "Bacterial small subunit ribosomal RNA", at positions 28 to 523 of the family's 1533-position model. The record is from RNAcentral.
GACGAACGCUGGCGGCGUGCUUUACACAUGCAAGUCGAACGGUGAAGGUGGAGCUUGCUCCGCCGGAUCAGUGGCGAACGGGUGAGUAACACGUGGGCAACCUGCCCCUAACUUUGGGAUAACUACGCGAAAGAGUAGCUAAUACCGGAUAUGAAGUCUGUAGGCAUCUAUGGAUUUGGAAAGUCUUUCGGUUAGGGAAGGGCCCGCGGCCUAUCAGCUUGUUGGUGAGGUAGUGGCUCACCAAGGCGACGACGGGUAGCCGGCCUGAGAGGGCGACCGGCCACACUGGGACUGAGACACGGCCCAGACUCCUACUGGAGGCAGCAGUGGGGAAUAUUGCGCAAUGGGCGAAAGCCUGACGCAGCAACGCCGCGUGCGGGAUGAAGGCCUUCGGGUUGUAAACCGCUUUCAGCAGGGAAGAAGCGAAAGUGACGGUACCUGCAGAAGAAGCACCGGCUAACUACGUGCCAGCCGCCGCCGUAA